CCCCCCAAUUUUCUUGAUAGCAAAGCUGAUGAUGUUACCCAUCGGCCAUGAUUAUCACCAAUGAUAGCAGCAUUUUUAAGCUCAGGACAAAGUGAGAAUAUCCCACUAUGUCGUAUCCGAUCAUAAAAGUAUCUUCGCCGACUAUAUUUUCGUUUCUUACAGAGAAGGCAACAACGGAUAGUAGCCUUGUAAAAUCCUGAUCAAGAAUCUGUUGGGAAGC
Molecule: long non-coding RNA, 220 nt
Filed under: Elaeis guineensis (African oil palm)
Lineage: Eukaryota; Viridiplantae; Streptophyta; Magnoliopsida; Arecales; Arecaceae
Description: long non-coding RNA (EGUI_LNC007911)
Source: RNAcentral